AAAUUGAAGAGUUUGAUCAUGGCUCAGAUUGAACGCUGGCGGCAGGCCUAACACAUGCAAGUCGAACGGUAACAGGAAGCAGCUUGCUGCUUUGCUGACGAGUGGCGGACGGGUGAGUAAUGUCUGGGAAACUGCCUGAUGGAGGGGGAUAACUACUGGAAACGGUGGCUAAUACCGCAUAACGUCGCAAGACCAAAGAGGGGGACCUUCGGGCCUCUUGCCAUCAGAUGUGCCCAGAUGGGAUUAGCUUGUUGGUGAGGUAACGGCUCACCAAGGCGACGAUCCCUAGCUGGUCUGAGAGGAUGACCAGCCACACUGGAACUGAGACACGGUCCAGACUCCUACGGGAGGCAGCAGUGGGGAAUAUUGCACAAUGGGCGCAAGCCUGAUGCAGCCAUGCCGCGUGUAUGAAGAAGGCCUUCGGGUUGUAAAGUACUUUCAGCGGGGAGGAAGGUGUUGUGGUUAAUAACCGCAGCAAUUGACGUUACCCGCAGAAGAAGCACCGGCUAACUCCGUGCCAGCAGCCGCGGUAAUACGGAGGGUGCAAGCGUUAAUCGGAAUUACUGGGCGUAAAGCGCACGCAGGCGGUCUGUCAAGUCGGAUGUGAAAUCCCCGGGCUCAACCUGGGAACUGCAUUCGAAACUGGCAGGCUUGAGUCUUGUAGAGGGGGGUAGAAUUCCAGGUGUAGCGGUGAAAUGCGUAGAGAUCUGGAGGAAUACCGGUGGCGAAGGCGGCCCCCUGGACAAAGACUGACGCUCAGGUGCGAAAGCGUGGGGAGCAAACAGGAUUAGAUACCCUGGUAGUCCACGCCGUAAACGAUGUCUACUUGGAGGUUGUGCCCUUGAGGCGUGGCUUCCGGAGCUAACGCGUUAAGUAGACCGCCUGGGGAGUACGGCCGCAAGGUUAAAACUCAAAUGAAUUGACGGGGGCCCGCACAAGCGGUGGAGCAUGUGGUUUAAUUCGAUGCAACGCGAAGAACCUUACCUGGUCUUGACAUCCACGGAAGUUUUCAGAGAUGAGAAUGUGCCUUCGGGAACCGUGAGACAGGUGCUGCAUGGCUGUCGUCAGCUCGUGUUGUGAAAUGUUGGGUUAAGUCCCGCAACGAGCGCAACCCUUAUCCUUUGUUGCCAGCGGUC
RNAcentral lists this ribosomal RNA (1136 nucleotides) under Salmonella enterica subsp. enterica serovar Cerro. RNAcentral describes it as "bacterial SSU rRNA". It matches the Rfam family "Bacterial small subunit ribosomal RNA", at positions 1 to 1126 of the family's 1533-position model. Lineage: Bacteria; Pseudomonadati; Pseudomonadota; Gammaproteobacteria; Enterobacterales; Enterobacteriaceae. The record is from RNAcentral.